GGAGGAAAGCAGGGGAUCGUAAGACCUUGCGCUUUUGGAGCGGCCGAUGCCUGAUUAGCUAGUUGGUGGGGUAAUGGCCUACCAAGGCUUCGAUCAGUAGCUGGUCUGAGAGGACGGCCAGCCACACUGGGACUGAGACACGGCCCAGACUCCUACGGGAGGCAGCAGUGGGGAAUUUUGGACAAUGGGCGCAAGCCUGAUCCAGCCAUGCCGCGUGAGUGAAGAAGGCCUUCGGGUUGUAAAGCUCUUUCAGCCGGGAAGAAAAGGUUGCGAUUAAUAAUCGCAAUUUAUGACGGUACCGGAAGAAGAAGCACCGGCUAACUACGUGCCAGCAGCCGCGGUAAUACGUAGGGUGCGAGCGUUAAUCGGAAUUACUGGGCGUAAAGGGUGCGCAGGCGGUUUUGUAAGUCAGAUGUGAAAUCCCCGGGCUUAACCUGGGAACUGCGUUUGAAACUACAAAGCUAG
This 465-nucleotide ribosomal RNA is filed under the name uncultured bacterium. RNAcentral describes it as "bacterial SSU rRNA". It matches the Rfam family "Bacterial small subunit ribosomal RNA", at positions 198 to 644 of the family's 1533-position model. The record is from RNAcentral.